Molecule: long non-coding RNA, 456 nt
Organism: Ostrea edulis (European flat oyster)
Lineage: Eukaryota; Metazoa; Mollusca; Bivalvia; Ostreida; Ostreidae
Exons: 3
Source: RefSeq, a predicted model, not a curated record
UGUAUUUUUCAUCUUUAAAAAGGUUAUUGACAUCCCAAUAUUUAGUGGGAAGCUUCCAGGUAUCUUCCACUAGUGACAGUCUACUGGUAAAUCCAGACAUGCAUUGGAAGUAUGUUGAUGUGGAGGACACAGGGACACCUGAUCCAAGAACUGUGGCAUUUCAUUCGGAGUGACAACCUGGCAUUCAGUUGAUAUGGGACCUGAUUAUUCAGAGAAUUGCAGAUUUUAUGAAGCUGUUUUUGACAGAAGAUUUGGUUUUCUCCAUUUGUGUUGCCAUUAACCAUUAUGCUGUGAUGGUCAUAUCUAGGGGGAAGGAUUGUCAUAUGCUUCCCGAGGAAGUUCGAAGCUUCUCACUGAAGAGGAACUGUACAGAUUGUUGGGCAUUAUCUUAUACAUGUCUGCUGAGAAGUUCUAGUCGAUAGACAGAUAUUGGUCAACGCAUGCCCCUAUCCGAAC